Molecule: ribosomal RNA, 458 nt
Filed under: uncultured bacterium
Lineage: Bacteria
Description: partial 16S ribosomal RNA
Rfam family: Bacterial small subunit ribosomal RNA
Source: RNAcentral
CCUACGGGUGGCAGCAGUGAGGAAUAUUGGUCAAUGGGCGAGAGCCUGAACCAGCCAAGUCGCGUGAGGGAGUACUGCCCUAUGGGUUGUAAACCUCUUUUGUCGGGGAGCAAAAUCCGGACGUGUCCGUCUGUGAGAUUACCCGAAGAAACAGCAUCGGCUAACUCCGUGCCAGCAGCCGCGGUCAUACGGAGGAUGCGGGCGUUAGCCGGAGUUAUUGGGUUUAAAGGGUGCGCAGGCGGAUUUUUAAGUCAGCGGUCAAAUCGUGGGGCUCAACCCCAUCCAGCCGUUGAAACUGGUGAGCUAGAGUGUGCGAGAGGUAUGCGGAAUGCGUGGUGUAGCGGUGAAAUGCAUAGAUAUCACGCAGAACCCCGAUUGCGAAGGCAGCAUACCGGUGAACAACUGACGCUCAGGCACGAAAGCGUGGGUAUCGAACAGGAUUAGAUACCCUUGUAGUC